AGUGAACGCUGGCGGUAGGCCUAACACAUGCAAGUCGAACGGCAGCACAGUAAGAGCUUGCUCUUACGGGUGGCGAGUGGCGGACGGGUGAGGAAUACAUCGGAAUCUACUUUUUCGUGGGGGAUAACGUAGGGAAACUUACGCUAAUACCGCAUACGACCUACGGGUGAAAGCAGGGGAUCUUCGGACCUUGCGCGAUUGAAUGAGCCGAUGUCGGAGUAGCUAGUUGGCGGGGUAAAGGCCCACCAAGGCGACGAUCCGUGGCUGGUCUGAGAGGAUGAUCAGCCACACUGGAACUGAGACACGGUCCAGACUCCUACGGGAGGCAGCAGUGGGGAAUAUUGGACAAUGGGCGCAAGCCUGAUCCAGCCAUACCGCGUGGGUGAAGAAGGCCUUCGGGUUGUAAAGCCCUUUUGUUGGGAAAGAAAAGCAGCAGGUUAAUACCCCGCUGUUCUGACGGUACCCAAAGAAUAAGCACCGGCUAACUUCGUG
Molecule: ribosomal RNA, 492 nt
Filed under: uncultured bacterium
Lineage: Bacteria
Description: partial 16S ribosomal RNA
Rfam family: Bacterial small subunit ribosomal RNA
Source: RNAcentral